Molecule: long non-coding RNA, 679 nt
Organism: Thamnophis elegans (Western terrestrial garter snake)
Lineage: Eukaryota; Metazoa; Chordata; Lepidosauria; Squamata; Natricidae
Exons: 3
Source: RefSeq, a predicted model, not a curated record
AUAAAUUUCCAGGAAUCAAACUCCGUUCGAAGGCGACUUUACUUUUUCUUUAGCCUCUGGGCGUGUCUCAGCUUUGUUCCUGGGUCGGCAGAAGCCUUGAAAGUAAGCAUGCCAACUCAGAAGACAGCAAUCUUGGGUACAAAUGUGACACUUCCGUGUAAAAUCUCUGACUACCCUCCCCCAGAACUGGAUAUCAAAAUAACAAUAUUCAUCUGGUAUUUGGAGACAUCUGAAGGGAAUAAAGUAGAACUUUAUUCAGUUGUUGCUGGAAAACAAUCUUCAAAUAGAAAUGGUUCAAGACUGGAUAUAAUUCAAUUAAAAAAUGGAGAUGCUUCCCUUUUCCUUCCACAAAUACAACUUCACGAAGAGGGCAAAUAUAUGUGUCGUGAUUGCUGCCUCUGUUAAAGCUGAAGGAGCCACCACUUUAGAUCUAGUUGUUGAACCAACUGUCCAACUGUCUCCCAAGGAACUUGAAAUUGAAAACGGAAAUGUAAAGACACUGAGAUGUAGAGUGAAUAAAUUCUAUCCUGAUUCCAUUGUCAUUCUUUGGCAAAAGCAUUCUAAGCACACGUUGGAUAAAGAUAUACCUGUAGAUGAUAUUUUCAUGGGAACAUCUGUGAGAAAUGGUGAUGGCACUUACAACACCACCAGUAAACUGAGACUUCAACCAUCUUCACAA